Molecule: long non-coding RNA, 969 nt
Organism: Aegilops tauschii subsp. strangulata
Lineage: Eukaryota; Viridiplantae; Streptophyta; Magnoliopsida; Poales; Poaceae
Source: RefSeq, a predicted model, not a curated record
AAGCCCAACCAGCGACACGUAUCAGCCCAACCAGCGACACGUCUCAGCGAUUCACAUUCAUUUCCUUUGAUCUGCAAACGUCUAGCGGCUCGUCUCCUUUAACCAGCCCCAAACCAGUCGAUCCCCUUUGCUCUCCUCUCUCCCCCCAUCUCGAUCUCCUCCAUCUUCCCCAGCAAGUUCACAAAUCCUCCCGUAUCUCCAUCUUCCCAAAUUCCAUAUAGCCCCCUUGGCUGCAAAUCCCGAGUAACCAAGCCGGAGACGCCGCGGGGCUGCCGUUGCAAGAGGAGGACGGGGUGCUGCAAGGCGCUGCCGCCGUCUCAACAGGCGCCGCCGCCGUCUCAACAAGGGCACUACUGCCACUGCCGGACUGCAAGGGAGGCCGCUAUUUCUCCCUCCAUCUAUCUGUGAUGUCUGCAUCUAGAUUGCUAUACCAUGCAGCCGAGCAGUCUGUUGUUUGAAGGGCCGCCCCGGUUUCCUUUGGUCAUUCUCUGAAAUCUUGUGCAGCUUUUUGGCCGCCCCAGGUUUCUUUCGGUCUAUUCCUCACCCCAUCUCCCUCUGAUGUCUGCCUCACCCUGCAUUCCCCUUCUAGUUCGUUCGUUCGUUCCCUUCCCCUUCCCUGGGAAGAAGGGUACCACCUAUGCCUCACCCUCUGCACCUUUAUUUAAUGAUUUCUGUCGCCUCUUGCUGAAUCCCUCUUGUUGAAUCACCAUGGCACAGUUUUCAGGCAAGUCGUCUCGCAUUGGAGAGCUUCCCGCGUCUAGGCUGUGUCCACGUCGGUGUCCCUGUGCUAUGGAGUUCCACUUCGUCGUUUUUUCGCUGCCGCGUAGUUCGUGUUAUCGAGGCCCAUUUAUGUUCAUUAAAUAAUGUACAUACUGUUCAGCCGCGUCAUGUGUGCCGCUUGGCCCCUUAUCUCGAUGUAAUAUCAGACUCGUGUAAUCCGCUAGCAUUAAUAAAGCGGUUGUUUCUGUA